CCUACGGGAGGCAGCAGUGAGGAAUAUUGGUCAAUGGGCGGGAGCCUGAACCAGCCAAGUCGCGUGAGGGAAGACGGUCCUAUGGAUUGUAAACCUCUUUAGGCGGGGAGCAAUGCCGGGCACGUGUGCCCGGAGGGAGAGUACCCGCAGAAUAAGCAUCGGCUAACUCCGUGCCAGCAGCCGCGGUAAUACGGAGGAUGCGAGCGUUAUCCGGAUUUAUUGGGUUUAAAGGGUGCGUAGGCGGACUGUUAAGUCAGCGGUAAAAGCCCGGGGCUCAACCCCGGCGGGCCGCUGAAACUGGCUGU
Molecule: ribosomal RNA, 305 nt
Filed under: uncultured bacterium
Lineage: Bacteria
Description: bacterial SSU rRNA
Rfam family: Bacterial small subunit ribosomal RNA
Source: RNAcentral